RNAcentral lists this unclassified non-coding RNA (317 nucleotides) under Zea mays. RNAcentral describes it as "misc RNA Zm00001eb090040". Lineage: Eukaryota; Viridiplantae; Streptophyta; Magnoliopsida; Poales; Poaceae. The record is from RNAcentral.
CAACCGAGCUCCCCUGCUUCCCUGCCUGUGCCGUCCAGCCGCUCCCUCCUCUUCUCUUAUGGUCGCUCCCUCUGCCGAGAUCGGUCUCUACAACUCCCUGCCCCAGCCCAGCACCGUGAUUUCUCCCUCCAUCUCUCCUGCGCAUGCUCUGGUCCUAGCGCCGCGCUCCUUUCUCCCAUGCUGCGCGCCGUGCUCCUACUGCUCCCUGCACGCUGCGGCCCACUGCUCCUCCCAGCCAUGGAGCUCGCCAGCCGGCGCUCCUCCAGUCGCCCAGCCCAGCAGGAGCUUCUCCCAUGGCCGCGACGCCCUGGCUCCUG